This 309-nucleotide unclassified non-coding RNA is filed under the name Ascomycota sp. RNAcentral describes it as "partial contains small subunit ribosomal RNA, internal transcribed spacer 1, and 5.8S ribosomal RNA". The record is from RNAcentral. Lineage: Eukaryota; Fungi; Ascomycota.
AAAGUCGUAACAAGGUUUCCGUAGGUACGUUGAUCAUCUUUCCUUCCUCCUCUCCACUGAUAAGCAACUCAAUACUAAUAUUUCUCUAGGUGAACCUGCGGAAGGAUCAUUAAAGAGUAAGGGUCUGUUAGGCCCGACCUCCAACCCUUUGUCUAUCUACCUCUGUUGCUUUGGCGGGCCCGCUGGGGAGACCCACCGCCGGCCUAGGCUGGUGAGUGCCCGUCAGAGACCACCGAAAACUCUGUUUACCGAUGAUGUCUGAGUACCAUAUAAUAAUUAAAACUUUCAACAACGGAUCUCUUGGUUCUG